GUGAUGAAGAGGAGGAGGAGGAGGUGAUAGAAGACAGUGAUGAUGGUGAUCAUGGUGAUGAAGAGGAGGAGGAGGUGAUAGAAGACAGUGAUGAUGGUGAUCAUGGUGAUGAGGAGGAGGUGAUAGAAGACAGUGAUGAUGGUGGUCAUGGUGAUGAGGAGGAGGUGAUAGAAGACAGUGAUGAUGGUGAUGAUGGUGAUGAUGAGGAGGAGGAGGUGAUAGAAGACAGUGAUGAUGGUGAUCAUGGUGAUGAGGAGGAGGUGAUAGAAGACAGCGAUGAUGGUGAUGAUGGUGAUGAGGAGGAGGAGGAGGUGAUAGAAGACAGUGAUGAUGGUGAUGAUGGUGAUGAUGAGGAGGAGGAGGUGAUAGAAGACAGUGAUGAUGGUGAUCAUGGUGAUGAGGAGGUGAUAGAAGACAGUGAUGAUGGUGAUGAUGGUGAUGAGGAGGAGGACGAGGUGAUAGAAGACAGUGAUGAUGGUGAUGAUGGUGAUGAUGAGGAGGAGGAGGUGAUAGAAGACAGUGAUGAUGGUGAUGAUGAGGAGGAGGAGGUGAUAGAAGACAGCGAUGAUGGUGAUGAUGGUGAUGAGGAGGAGGACGAGGUGAUAGAAGACAGUGAUGAUGGUGAUGAUGGUGAUGAUGAGGAGGAGGAGGUGAUAGAAGACAGUGAUGAUGGUGAUGAUGAGGAGGAGGAGGUGAUAGAAGACAGUGAUGAUGGUGGUCAUUGUGAUGAGGAGGUGAUAGAAGACAGUGAUGAUGGUGGUCAUGGUGAUGAGGAGGAGGUGAUAGAAGACAGUGAUGAUGGUGAUCAUGGUGAUGAGGAGGAGGUGAUAGAAGACAGUGAUGAUGGUGGUCAUGGUGAUGAGGAGGAGGUGAUAGAAGACAGUGAUGAUGGUGAUGAUGGUGAUGAUGAGGAGGAGGAGGUGAUAGAAGACAGUGAUGAUGGUGAUGAUGGUGAUGAGGAGGUGAUAGAAGACAGUGAUGAUGGUGGUCAUUGUGUGUUGGAUGUUGGAAGUCAGCUCCUAUUUCCAUCAACAGUCUACAGUAAUGGUUUCUCUUCUUUUUUUCAUUGGAAGAAUAGGUCUGGAGGUUACUGGACUUAACUGAGGAUCUCCAGCACAUUUAGAUAGCUUUGAUUCUGCAUGACUCAAAGAAAGGCAC
Molecule: long non-coding RNA, 1158 nt
Filed under: Salmo salar (Atlantic salmon)
Lineage: Eukaryota; Metazoa; Chordata; Actinopteri; Salmoniformes; Salmonidae
Description: lncRNA (ENSSSAG00000093926.1, ENSSSAG00000114231.1)
Source: RNAcentral